GGACGGAUGCCGCCGAGUCGCCCUCCGGGCGAGCCGGGGACCCACCGCACCACUGGGGUGAAUCCCGCACGCCGGACGCCGUCCGGCCGCGGGUAGGGCUGCUUCCCGCCCGAACCCGUCAGCUGACCCGGUAGGCGGCCAUCGGGAGAAACG
This 153-nucleotide small RNA is filed under the name Geodermatophilus saharensis. RNAcentral describes it as "c-di-AMP sequence". It matches the Rfam family "c-di-AMP riboswitch aptamer (ydaO/yuaA leader)". From Rfam's summary of the family: This family represents a conserved RNA structure found upstream of the ydaO and yuaA genes in Bacillus subtilis and related genes in other bacteria. The ydaO/yuaA element is thought to act as a genetic "off" switch for the ydaO and yuaA genes in its native state. It is believed that the element may be triggered during osmotic shock leading to activation of ydaO, a predicted amino acid transporter gene, and members of the yuaA-yubG operon which code for KtrA and KtrB K+ transporters. The record is from RNAcentral. Lineage: Bacteria; Bacillati; Actinomycetota; Actinomycetes; Geodermatophilales; Geodermatophilaceae.